AGUGGCGGACGGGUGAGUAACGCGUGAGAAUCUGCCUUUAGGACGGAGAUAACAGAAGGAAACUGCUGCUAAUCCCCGAUGAGCCGGUUUACCGGUCAAAGAUUUAUCGCCUAGAGAUGAGCUCGCGUCCGAUUAGCUAGUUGGUGUAAUAAAAGUGCACCAAGGCGACGAUCGGUAGCUGGUCUGAGAGGACAAUCAGCCACACUGGACUGAGACACGGCCCAGACUCCUACGGGAGGCAGCAGUGGGGAAUUUUCCGCAAUGGGCGAAAGCCUGACGGAGCAAGACCGCGUGGGGGAGGAAUGCCUUAGGGUUGUAAACCCCUUUUAUCUGGGAAGAAACUAUUGUCAAAGAUAGCUGACGGUACCAGAUGAAUAAGCCUCGGCUAACUCCGUGCCAGCAGCCGCGGUAAUACGGAGGAGGCAAGCGUUAUCCGGAUUUAUUGGGCGUAAAGCGUCCGCAGGUGGCAGUUCAAGUCUGCUGUCAAAGACAGUGGCUCAACCACUGAAAGGCAGCAGAUACUGAGCAGCUAGAGUGCGGUAGGGGCAGAGGGAAUUCCCGGUGUAGCGGUGAAAUGCGUAGAUUUCGGGAAGAACAUCGGUGGCGAAAGCGCUCUGCUGGACCGCAACUGACACUCAGGGACGAAAGCUAGGGGAGCGAAUGGGAUUAGAUACCCC
This 677-nucleotide ribosomal RNA is filed under the name uncultured bacterium. Its description in RNAcentral is "bacterial SSU rRNA". It matches the Rfam family "Bacterial small subunit ribosomal RNA", at positions 94 to 788 of the family's 1533-position model. The record is from RNAcentral.